Molecule: ribosomal RNA, 254 nt
Filed under: uncultured bacterium
Lineage: Bacteria
Description: partial 16S ribosomal RNA
Rfam family: Bacterial small subunit ribosomal RNA
Source: RNAcentral
CACGUAGGGGGCGAGCGUUGUCCGGAUUUAUUGGGCGUAAAGAGCUCGUAGGCGGUUUCGUAAGUCGGAUGUGAAAACUCCAGGCUCAACUUGGAGACGCCAUUCGAUACUGCGAUGACUUGAGUCCGGUAGGGGAGUGUGGAAUUCCUGGUGUAGCGGUGAAAUGCGCAGAUAUCAGGAAGAACACCCGUGGCGAAGGCGGCUCUCUAGUACGGUACUGACGCUGAGACGCGAAAGCGUGGGGAGCGAACAGG